ACUACCUUAGUUUAUUUAAAAUAGUAGUUUGUCAUACUGCAGAAGAUUGGGUAACUUAUCAGGUUGUG
RNAcentral lists this transfer RNA (68 nucleotides) under Tetrancistrum nebulosi. Its description in RNAcentral is "tRNA-Asp". The record is from RNAcentral. Lineage: Eukaryota; Metazoa; Platyhelminthes; Monogenea; Dactylogyridea; Ancyrocephalidae.